AGUGAAACUGCGAAUGGCUCAUUAAAUCAGUAUCGUUUAUUGACAUUACCUUACUACAUGGAUACCUGUAGAAAAUCUAGAGCUAAUACAUGCUAAAAACCCCGACUUCGGGAGGGGUGCGUUUAUUAGAUAAAAAACCAAUGCCCUUCGGGGCUUCUUGGUGAUUCAUGAUAACUCAGUUGAUCGCAUGGCUUUACGCCGGCGACGGUACAUUCAAAUUUCUGCCCUAUCAACUUUCGAUGGUAAGGUAGUGGCUUACCAUGGUUUCAACGGGUAACGGGGAAUUAGGGUUCGAUUCCGGAGAGGGAGCCUGAGGAACGGCUACCACAUCCAAGGAAGGCAGCAGGCGCGCAAAUUACCCAAUUCUGAUACAGAGAGGUAGUGACAAUAAAUACUGAUACAGGGCUCUUUUGGGUCUUGUAAUUGGAAUGAGUACAAUUUAAACCUCUUAACGAGGAACAAUUGGAGGGCAAGUCUGGUGCCAGCAGCCGCGGUAAUUCCAGCUCCAAUAGCGUAUAUUAAAGUUGUUGCAGUUAAAAAGCUCGUAGUUGAACCUUUGGUCUGGCUGGCAGGUCCGCCUCACCGCGUGCACUUGACCGGCCGGGCCUUUUCUUCUGGAGAACCGCAUGCCCUUCACUGGGUGUGUUGGGGACCAGGACUUUUACUUUGAAAAAAUUAGAGUGUUCAAAGCAGGCCUUUGCUCGAAUACGUUAGCAUGGAAUAAUAGAAUAGGACGUGCGGUCCUAUUUUGUUGGUUUCUAGGACCGCCGUAAUGAUUAAUAGGGACAGUCGGGGGCAUCAGUAUUCAAUUGUCAGAGGUGAAAUUCUUGGAUUUAUUGAAGACUAACUACUGCGAAAGCAUUUGCCAAGGAUGUUUUCAUUAAUCAGUGAACGAAAGUUAGGGGAUCGAAGACGAUCAGAUACCGUCGUAGUCUUAACCAUAAACUAUGCCGACUAGGGAUCGGGCGGUGUUUCUAUUGUGACCCGCCCGGCACCUUACGAGAAAUCAAAGUUUUGGCUCUGGGGAGUAGGAAGUC
Molecule: ribosomal RNA, 1037 nt
Filed under: Neokalmusia thailandica
Lineage: Eukaryota; Fungi; Ascomycota; Dothideomycetes; Pleosporales; Didymosphaeriaceae
Description: SSU rRNA
Rfam family: Eukaryotic small subunit ribosomal RNA
Source: RNAcentral